CGGCGGCGGCAGCGGCUUCAACGACUGUUGGUUGGCUGGGCGGCAGGCUGACCGGUUUCCUUUCUCUCCCGUUCUCCUCAGCCCCGUCUCCGCACUACUCACCGCCACUACUACCACCUACCCCGCCUUGGGCAGCCGAGUAACUUUGACCCCCACCCUCCCGCCUCCCACCCCGCCCGGCUCUCUCCCGCCUCCUCAGGAAACCGUUUCCUUUUUCUCUUUCCUUUUUUUUUUUAAACCCCCCUUAGCCCCAAAGCGGAGGCAGCCAGCUAUAACAAUCCCCCCCCCCACGCUCCUCCUCCCAGAGUCCAGAAGCCGGCCCCUUACGCCGCUUCCGUAGCGUAGCGACUCACCGAGAAGCGAAGAGCCCGCCCUGCGGAAACAGCGCCGAAAGCCGUCGUGAAUACCAAGGUUUGCAAGUCACAGGGGAAAUGCAAGCCCUAAUGAAGAGCUGUGGACAGCGCCAGAGCAACCUGGAAAACAGACAGGACUUGGGGGCGGGGACCAAUGGAAGCCAAGAAAUCCAGAGGCUGUCCAGUUAAAGAUGAAGAACCAAAAAAGGGGAGAACCAGGGAGGAAGAGGAUUGAAGUUGCCCAUCAGCCAUGAGCACCUGGACAGCAGGAAAGUGGUACCCAGAGUUUCCCGCAGACCCUCCCACAGUACCUCAUCUCUGGAGACGGAGCUGAUUUCUGCAGCCAGAGAUUCAGAGAAGGAAGCAGAGAAGAG
Lacerta agilis (Sand lizard) is the source of this 727-nucleotide long non-coding RNA. RefSeq lists it as uncharacterized. Lineage: Eukaryota; Metazoa; Chordata; Lepidosauria; Squamata; Lacertidae. The record is from RefSeq and is a predicted model, not a curated record. The transcript is spliced from 4 exons.